UACAGAGGGUGCGAGCGUUAAUCGGAAUUACUGGGCGUAAAGGGUGCGUAGGUGGUUUAGUAAGUUAGAUGUGAAAUCCCUGGGCUCAACCCAGGAAAUGCUUCGGAUACUGGCGUGCUUGAGGCCGGUAGGGGUCACUGGAACUGACGGUGGAGCGGUGAAAUGCGUAGAUAUCGUCAGGAACGCCAAUGGUGAAGACAGGUGACUGGGCCGGAUCUGACACUGAGGCACGAAAGCGUGGGGAGCGAACGGG
RNAcentral lists this ribosomal RNA (253 nucleotides) under uncultured bacterium. RNAcentral's name for it is "partial 16S ribosomal RNA". It matches the Rfam family "Bacterial small subunit ribosomal RNA", at positions 524 to 776 of the family's 1533-position model. The record is from RNAcentral.